AGUGGGAUAGCUGGGUCAAAUGGUGGUUCCAUUCCCAGGGUUCCAAGGAAUCUUCAUACUGCUUUCCAGAUUGGUUGCACCUAUUUUCAGUCCCACCAGCUAU
RNAcentral lists this microRNA precursor (103 nucleotides) under Marmota monax (woodchuck). Lineage: Eukaryota; Metazoa; Chordata; Mammalia; Rodentia; Sciuridae. The record is from RNAcentral.